AUACCGACGGGGGGCAGCAGUGGGGAAUAUUGCACAAUGGGGGAAACCCUGAUGCAGCAACGCCGCGUGGGUGAAGGAGCGUUUCGGCGCGUAAAGCCCUGUCAGCGGGGAAGAAGAAAGACGGUACCCGACCAAGAAGCCCCGGCUAACUACGUGCCAGCAGCCGCGGUAAUACGUAGGGGGCAAGCGUUAUCCGGAUUUACUGGGUGUAAAGGGGGCGCAGACGGCGAUGCAAGCCAGGAGUGAAAGCCCGGGGCCCAACCCCGGGACUGCUCUUGGAACUGCGUGGCUGGAGUGCAGGAGGG
Molecule: ribosomal RNA, 305 nt
Filed under: uncultured bacterium
Lineage: Bacteria
Description: bacterial SSU rRNA
Rfam family: Bacterial small subunit ribosomal RNA
Source: RNAcentral